Molecule: long non-coding RNA, 2464 nt
Filed under: Homo sapiens (human)
Lineage: Eukaryota; Metazoa; Chordata; Mammalia; Primates; Hominidae
Description: HSALNT0293522
Source: RNAcentral
AUUAUGCUCAUUCUUUUUUUUUUUAACCAGUAAGGAUCUGGAUAAAGAAAAACAUUUUAGAAAACCACUUGUAGAGUACCAUGAACCAGUCUCUCUUCUCCAUUUUAAAAAAUUUAUUGACUCACUUUUUUUCCAUAACUUUUUGAGAUAUUAUUUCAACCACUUUGCAUUUAGAGAAAAAGAGUCAGAGAGUGAUUAAGAAAUCUGCCCAAUGCUAUACUGAUAGAAGCUGGGAGAACUGGGAUUUGAGCUUACAUAGGCUAGUUCUAGCAUUUGUGAAGUUCUCGCCUAAUAAAAAUUAUCUGUAAUCAUAACCAGAGCAAGUCAUUUCUAACCUCCUGUCUAUAGACACGCGGAUACAUUUGUAAUGUUUUUGUUUGUUUGUUUUUAGCACGACAGAUCAAUUCCUGCUGGCAUUAUAGUUCUUUAACUAUCAUAGCUUCUCUGAUUUUUCAACACAUCUGUCAUCCGUAUUCUGCAGGCAUAGCCAACUCUGUCAGUGUCUCCUCAGGCAAUCAGAAUCAACAGACAGAAUGUAGGACAGAAAACUGGCUGCAAACAUGUUGGAAGGGCUGGAGGAGCGAAAGAGGGAAGAUCUGUUACCUAGAGAUAGUAACUUCCAGAAGUUACCACUAUACUAGUGCAGGAGAAGCAGAAAGGAAGAUGCUGCUACCCAGAGCCCACAGUCAUUGUGCCCCUGAUGCCGCUGGAACCCCACUGCAGCUGCUUUACAGGAAGCAGGGAAUUAGCGCUCUUGCUGAUGCUACAGGUAUCCAGGAUCCAAAAGUCAUCAGCCGCUGUCCCUGUUGCAGCCUAGGGAAACUGUCCCACUGAGGUUGUUGGGGUACCUGCUACUGCAUCUACUGUCUGAACCAUGUUGCCUGAGCAGAUGUCCAGGGCUCAGGCUUGCCUGCUGCUGUUACUGCUGCCACCAUGUUUAUCAGAGCUACUUCAAGAAGAGAAGAAAUCCUCCUCAUUUCCAGUUUUUUCCAGUGCCUCCCAUUGCUUCCCAGAAUGCCAAAUUCUCUUUGAGAGACAGCUGAAAGGAAGGUUUGGAAAAGACUCUGGUGUAAGCAGAUUCUGCUUCCCUGCAAUAGGGGGAAAGCAUAGGGUGGAACUGGAGCUGAGAGCUAAUCACGAAUGAGCAAAUCAGUCUUCAAGACAUUUACCUUUCCUUGAAACGUUUCCCUUCUUUUACCGUGUUUUCCAUGUCAUUAUUUUUCCACAAUUCUGCAUCAUAUUCUGUUAACUAUUAAUGCCCUGGAUAAGUUUAUUUGCUCUUUCUUAGGGUUAAUUUUUCUCCUUUUCUUCGAAGCUUUAGUUUGCAGGUUCAGCUUGUGUGGGAAUUUUCAUCUCCCUCCUCUUCAAGACUCCUUGGAUAUCAGUUUUUUGGUUGCCUUCACCAACUCUCCCCCCACCAUCUCUAGACCAGGGCAUGGUCUUAGUUGGUGGCUUGGACUCCUGUGGCUUGGAGUCUUUGGGGAUAUUAGAGAUCCAGUCACUGAGCUGGCAAAGGGAACACUGUCCUUGCUUCCAGCUUUAUGAAGAACGCUUUGCUCUGUCACCCCACGUGAGUCCAACUCUUGGCUGCCUACACUGCCUGAGGCUUCAGUUCUGGCAUCGUGCUGCAUGUGAUCUAUUAUCCUGCUUUUGAAUAUGCCUAUGACUUUUCUUUAUAUAUUUUUAAAAAUGUUAUUAUUGGUAUGUUUACAGUGAAGGGAAGAAUGUGAAGCAUGAACUCAAGAGUCACAGUAAUGAUAAAUUUUAAUGAUUGUAAUUGUCCUAUCUGUCAUAAUACAUUUAUUUUGUUGAUUUGUUUGGAUUUUCUAGGUAAAUAAUCAUGUUAUUCAAGGAUAAUGAAUGCAGCCACCAUGUAAUCAUCACUGACUCCAUGGCCAUGAGAAAAGAGACCUAAGAAAUGAUGCCCAUCCAGAAGAGUGAAGACUUCCUGAAAAUGUUCUUUUAACCUAAGAUGUAGGUUAAGAGGAGUGAAAAAAUGUUCUGUUUCUGACUGAUGAUGGAGCAACAAAGGAACUCCUAAAGAAGAAAUCAUCCAUUCAGUGAGAGCAAAUGAACACUCCAACAGACUGAAACAAAGCAUCUUUACAGGAGAUGUGAAUGCGAGAAAGCAAAGAGAACUACAGUCAGGGUCUCCGCUGGCAUGGCCCAAGCCCACCGUGGCAUGAUCCAGAGAGACGAGUCAGCAGAGCACUAUGGGCAGCUCCCAUACUCUUCGCAGAUCAACAAGCCAGCAUAUAACCCAGGGAGAUAGAUAAUAGUGAUGCUGUGCUCUGUAGAGGGUAGUGGCAACAGUGGGAUUUCUUCUGGAAUAAAUCUGUAGUGAGCCAGAUGUUUCUGCUGACUAUAUUACUUCUGACAGUGUAUAAUCCAAAAUUGUUUCCUUGGCCUUCCAAAAAGUUUUAUAAGCUCCCUAACGGCUGCAAUAAAUCCCUUUCUUCUUAAA